RNAcentral lists this ribosomal RNA (864 nucleotides) under uncultured archaeon. RNAcentral's name for it is "SSU rRNA". It matches the Rfam family "Archaeal small subunit ribosomal RNA", at positions 474 to 1337 of the family's 1478-position model. The record is from RNAcentral.
AACCAGCACCUCAAGUGGUCAGGAUGAUUAUUGGGCCUAAAGCAUCCGUAGCCGGCUCUGUAAGUUUUCGGUUAAAUCUGUACGCUUAACGUACAGGCUGCCGGGAAUACUGCAGAGCUAGGUAGUGGGAGAGGUAGACGGUACUCGGUAGGAAGGGGUAAAAUCCUUUGAUCUAUUGAUGACCACCUGUGGCGAAGGCGGUCUACCAGAACACGUACGACGGUAAGGGAUGAAAGCUGGGGGAGCAAACCGGAUUAGAUACCCGGGUAGUCCCAGCUGUAAACUAUGCAAACUCAGUGAUGCAUUGGCUUGUGGCCAAUGCAGUGCUGCAGGGAAGCCGUUAAGUUUGCCGCCUGGGAAGUACGUACGCAAGUAUGAAACUUAAAGGAAUUGGCGGGGGAGCACCACAAGGGGUGAAGCCUGCGGUUCAAUUGGAGUCAACGCCAGAAAUCUUACCCGGAGAGACAGCAGAAUGAAGGUCAAGCUGAAGACUUUACCAGACAAGCUGAGAGGUGGUGCAUGGCCGUCGCCAGCUCGUGCCGUGAGAUGUCCUGUUAAGUCAGGUAACGAGCGAGAUCCCUGCCUCUAGUUGCCACCAUUACUCUCAGGAGUAGUGGGGCGAAUUAGCGGGACCGCCGCAGUUAAUGCGGAGGAAGGAAGGGGCCACGGCAGGUCAGUAUGCCCCGAAACUCUGGGGCCACACGCGGGCUGCAAUGGUAACGACAAUGGGUUUCGAAUUCGAAAGGAUGAGGUAAUCCUCAAACGUUACCACAGUUAUGACUGAGGGCUGCAACUCGCCCUCACGAAUAUGGAAUCCCUAGUAACUGCGUGUCACUAUCGCGCGGUGAAUACGUCCCUGCUCCA